RNAcentral lists this long non-coding RNA (511 nucleotides) under Ananas comosus (pineapple). Its description in RNAcentral is "long non-coding RNA (ACOM_LNC001805)". Lineage: Eukaryota; Viridiplantae; Streptophyta; Magnoliopsida; Poales; Bromeliaceae. The record is from RNAcentral.
CACACUAUAUAUGAAUUUUUGAAAAUAAAAUGCUCUGUUUAGUGAUAUGAUGGUCGAUUCAAGUUAAAUUUGAAUUGGGUUUGCUUAGUUAAAAAACUUGGUGCUCAUAUUUGAUUUGAGUUUGAUUCGCUCAACUUAACGACUCGCGGUCAAUUGAAGUUGAAUUUGAUUUGAACUUGAUCUGCUUAGUUUAAAGACUUGACGGUUAAUUGAAGUUCAGUUUGAUUUGAACUUAAUUUGCUCAAUUUAACGACUUGGUAGUCAAUUGAAGUUCAAUUUAAUUUGAACUUGAUUUGCUUAGUUUAACGACUUGGCGUUCAAGUUGGGAUGAAUUUGAUUUGAAUUUGGUUUAUUUAGUUUAGCGACUUGACGAUCAAUUGAGGUUGAAUAUGAUUUGAAUUUAAUUUGCUGAGUUUAACGACUUAGUGGUCAAUUAAGGUUGAAUUUGAUUUGAACUUGAUUUGCUCAGUUUAACGACUUGGCGGUUAAUUAAAGUUGAAUUUGAUUUGAA